Molecule: small nuclear RNA, 188 nt
Organism: Struthio camelus australis
Lineage: Eukaryota; Metazoa; Chordata; Aves; Struthioniformes; Struthionidae
Gene: U2
Rfam family: U2 spliceosomal RNA
About the family: U2 is a small nuclear RNA (snRNA) component of the spliceosome (involved in pre-mRNA splicing). Complementary binding between U2 snRNA (in an area lying towards the 5' end but 3' to hairpin I) and the branchpoint sequence (BPS) of the intron results the bulging out of an unpaired adenosine, on the BPS, which initiates a nucleophilic attack at the intronic 5' splice site, thus starting the first of two transesterification reactions that mediate splicing.
Source: Ensembl
AUUAAUUCUUAACUAUUUGGCAAAGACCAAAUGUAGCAUAUGUUUUUAUCACUUUGGUAUCUGUUAUGUCUUCAGUUUGAAUAUUUUAUAUUAAAUAAAUUUGGGGGACUGGAAGAUUUACUGGGAGCUUGCAACAUCCUCUCCGUGUGUGAAGCUAUUGCUCUGUUUCCAGAAUGGUGCAAAAAGAA